Molecule: ribosomal RNA, 253 nt
Filed under: uncultured bacterium
Lineage: Bacteria
Description: partial 16S ribosomal RNA
Rfam family: Bacterial small subunit ribosomal RNA
Source: RNAcentral
UACGAAGGGGGCUAGCGUUGCUCGGAAUCACUGGGCGUAAAGGGUGCGUAGGCGGGUCUUUAAGUCAGGGGUGAAAUCCUGGAGCUCAACUCCAGAACUGCCUUUGAUACUGAGGAUCUUGAGUUCGGGAGAGGUGAGUGGAACUGCGAGUGUAGAGGUGAAAUUCGUAGAUAUUAGGAAGAACACCAGAGGCGAAGGCGGUUUCCUGGGCCAAUACUGACGCUGAGGCGCGAAAGCGUGGGGAGCAAACAGG